Mycena galericulata is the source of this 83-nucleotide non-coding RNA. Lineage: Eukaryota; Fungi; Basidiomycota; Agaricomycetes; Agaricales; Mycenaceae. The record is from the annotation of a GenBank genome assembly.
AGCAGCAUGGCGCAGUUGGAAGCGCGCGGGGCCCAUAUUUAUAGGACACCCCGGGGUCACUCGAUCGAAACGAGUUGCUGCUA